GUCAAAAACACCAAAGGACUAAUCCACGCACUGUGUAACUUUCAUUCCCCCUGCUUGAGUCUCUGCUGAAGACCGGUUUUAACUGUUAGAGGCCUGAAACCCAAUCCUGUUAUAAAUCAAGAAGCCAAAUUCCCUUUGGGCUUACAUCAGAGCAAACAAAUCAGUGCCUCCUCUAAUACUAAAGAUUAGGUCACAGGCCAGAGGAAACCUAACCUGCUUUGUGGGUUUAGAGCUGCAAGAGCUGUACAAAAAGAAAGAAAGAAAGAAAGAAAGAGGAGAGAGAGAGAGAGAGAGGGAGAAAGAAAGAAAGAAAGAAAGAGAGAGAGAGAGAGAAAGAAAGAAAGAAAGAAAGAAAGAAAGAAAGAAAGAAAGAAAGAAAGAAAGAAAGAAAAAAAGCUCUUGGCCUAACCCUUAACCAAAUGUGAAGUGCGUGUCAUAGGUGGAUGGAAUGUCAUUCUGCUCCUUGAAAUCAUCAUUUUUAGCAACAGAUUCAUAUCACAGUCACUUUUCCAUGAUGGCAUCUCCACAUUAUUUUGACCCUUAAUAACCAUCCCAGGCACCAAAAGCAAUCAUCAGGUUCUAUCACAAGCACUUUUCUGAUACCUUAAAAAUUUUCAGAGUCUGGGGCUGGUAAUUUCUCUUUAUGUCCCUGUAAACCCCAAAUCAAUCUCGACUUCCCUGCCCUUUCAUCCAACUGAUGCUGAGAACUUUCUCCCCAAAGAAAGAAAAGCCAGGCAUUCAGAGUCAGAUGUGGUGUGGACUGUUUCUGGUUAGAUGACUCAGCCCAUUUUUGUGGAUUUCCCAAGAUGCUUUCUGAAAUUCUGUUGAAAAAUAUCUUGUGUGAUCUGGUAACAAAUUAAACAAAAGACAAACCACCAAAUGCUUGCCUGUUUGAAAAGGCCAACCACAAAAUACUCCGAUUCACGGUGACCUAUCGUGGGGGAGAAGCAGCUCUGGAUCAUCAGAUAAAUUCUAACUUCCACAAACCCCGGCUCCCUGGACUCCUUUCUGAGGCUUCAUGAAAGAUAGAGGGGGGUUUCACAUAACUGCAUUUCAAAUAACUCUAAGGCUCAUGACACCAAGAUACUUUUUAAGGUUUUAGAAAACUUGCCCUCCUCUGCUGACCAUGCCAAGAUGCACUGGUGGCUUUGGUUUGCCUUAUUUUGCCAUCUUCAGUUUUAAAAGUAUUGAGAGACAGAGGAUGCUUGUUUGUUUUCAUUUUGUUUUAAUUCCAGAAGCUAAGUAAUCACUUAAUAUAUAUUUUCUUUGACAAUUAACAAAAGUGAUUCAUACUUUUUGUGGAAGUCUAUUUUCUUUCCAGCAGCACACGCCCACAUUUCUUUGGUGACUUACAGAGCAGAACAAUAAGCACCGAAUCUGUUUUUCACCAACCAGGAUUCCUCGCCAGGCUUUUCCCAGCAUACUCACGCAGAUGGAAUUUCUGGCUCACGCUUCGUCCUUUUGCUGUUGUUGUUGUGUUUGUUGAGGUUGUUGUUAGGUGUUUUCCUCUGAACUGAAAAAGGGAUAUAUCUAUGCUCUCCCUGAUCUCUCGGGAAGCUGACAAAACAAAGAAGCGUACGUGCCCAGCACACACAGCCCCGCCCAACCCUGUGGUGUAGUUUGUCCUGCCCAAACACAUGAACCACAAAGUGCGCUCAUUCACAAACACACAACUUCCUUUCCUGAACAACAGCGCCUCCCGCUCCCGCUGGAAAGGGUGUCCCCAGCUGUCUGGGAGAUGUCCUGCCCCGCCGCACGGGGGUGGAAUUUGCAGUUUUGCAGAGGAGUCACCAAGACGAGGCAAUUUGCUUGCUCUUGGUAAAGUUGUUUUGUUGUUGUUGCCGUUGAUUCUAUUUCUCUUUCUGGAACUGAAAUGUUGGCCUUUGGAGAAUUCCUGCGCUAUAAGGAGUACACAGACUUGGGAAAACUUAGCACACCAAGAGAAGGAGUGGCACUAUGUGUUUUGCCAAAACCCAUCUGAAAUUUCCUGUUUUCCACGUUUGGGAUGUAACGUUAACUUUUAGGGUCAGAGUUGCUCUCUCCCGGGGAAGUUGCAACUUUUUAUUCCUGACUUCUUCAAGGGCUUGUGAAAGAUCUCCAAUGUGCUUCUACAAAAGAUACAAAUGCCUUUUUAAGAAAACCCUCUGUGAGCUGCACUCAUUGGAUCUGAAACCAGAUGCAUUCAAUUUGCCUUUAAGUCUUCACCAGCUCAUCCUCAAGGUGAGCUUUCAUUCCUGAAGUUUGUGUAAUGCUGAAGUUACAGUUUUACAAGCAACGUUGAAAACGGCUUCCUGCUGUAACUUUCAGGAAGAGGAAGAGCUGUGUUAAGCCAAACUCUGGAGGCCAGUGACUGCAUGUUUGCUUCCACAGGAGGCUGGUCCGAACUGCAGCUUGUCCUCACAGCCAGGAGAAUGUUUGUCCAGAGAUCACUUUAAAAAAUGCUCAUCAGGUUGACAGUUAUAAGACCAUAAUAUGAGGACUUCACCCUGCUGAUGAGGGAGACUCAGAGAAUGAGAAAAGUACAGCUUUGGUAACUUUUGAAUGAGUUCCAUACUUGUCAUAAACACAGACCAACCCAAGUAAACUCCAGAGUUCAACUGUGACACGCUCUUCAGCCUGCACCAGAAAAGGCAGCGCAGUUAGGCUAAUCCCAGGCUAGCACAGAGAAGUUGGGAAGAGUGUUCAUCUCGCUCAGUCAGAAUUCACACACAGAAAGGGGAGUGGGUGGUUACCAGGCUUAAUAUGUUCAAUAAGGCUUUUUCUCCAGCAAGACGUGGAAAUCCUUUUAUAACCUGUUUUGUUCUUCCUCUAACCACUUACAUUUCUAUGUGUCACCCUUUCCUUCUCGAUAAAAUUUUGAUAAUCAUUUGUCCUAACAAAGCCCAGAGAGGCGUUGAAAGAAGCCCAUGAGAUUAUGGUUAGGAAAGCACUUUUGAAAAUGCUAUGUAAACACAAUGCUGUCACCACCUACUUGCGAAAUUGUGGACAGGAACAACUGCCUUACACACACACACACACCUGUGAAAUACCAGACUGAUUUAAUCCGAAAGGAAGGUUAAUUCCAAACUACUGAUCACUUCUGAUCAUUAAACACAUGCAGAUACGCACAGUUAAAAAGUAGUUUUUAGAAAAGGUAAAAUUAUCAUUCUCAUACACAUAUAAAUAAAUAGAUGUUUAAGAAUAUAUUUAACUCGUAGGAUGUGAGGGAAUUAAACAGAUGUUAUAACCGAUUCAAAGAAAAAAUCAAAAUGACACAUAAAAUAUAUGCAGCAAAGGAACAUUGAGAUCAACUGCAAAUAAGCAUGAAAUUGGACGGAGAGGAGGUCAAUGAAACCACUAUCAGCAAGUACAGAAUUUGCACAUCUGUCCUAUAGUUUGUGUAAGCUGCCUAUAAUUUACAAAGAAUUGCAUAGGAAUGCAAAAUUAAUGCACAGGGUUGAAUUCUGAUAACCCUGAAAGGUGUGCUCUAGAUCAUGCAGUUUUCUAGUGAAACACAAGACUCCUACACACCCAAGCAUACAGACUCUUUAGAUUCAUGAUUGGUCAUGUUUUAUGGGAAGACAGCCACGCUCAUGUCUCAGUGGCUGCUCCAUCUACACAACACCAGUGAGCAGUUACCGUGGAGACCACCCGGCCUCCAGAGCAUUUACUUUUUGGCUCCUUACAGAUAAAGUUUGCCGACCCCUAUUUCUAUCAAUAUAUGGCAUUGCAAACCAUAUUUAGUUAGUUAUGCAUUUAUUUCCUAAUUAAUGAGUGCCCAGUGGGUGCACUGGCAUCUCCCCCUUAAUGGAAUUCUUCUUAGCCAUGGACAUUUGUAAGCUAAGACUUAGGAUCAUCACUAAACAUAAAACGAUACACAAACCAAGUGGCUACCAACUUUUUAAAUUAUUAUUUUGAGUUUUGUUAAAUGUCUUAUUUUUAAUACACUAGCAAACAAAGAUAGUGCUGUCUGAACAAUGAAGAUGCCCAUCCAACUGUCUAAUCUAGACCCUGAAUACUGAAAAGGCUCUCUCCCUGACCUGACCUUGGUCAACCUCCCCUAAGCUGUCUUUCAAGGCCUGUCCUUGGGCCUAUUUCUUAAGAACAAGAAUCUUGUUCAAGUCAGUUCAAUGAGAGUCCCCUACCCUUGAUUCCAAUCACUCUUCGUAGCUGAUCACAACCCUCACUCCUCAGCAUCCCUCAGUUGACAUCUGCCCACAUUGAACUGCCUUCAACAAGACUCCUGUCCAGCCCAUUUAUCCAGAAUUUUUUCCCCCGAUGUUCCCUCUUAGUAAUUUUCCAUUCACUGACCCCCGACCCUGCUCCAAGGCUGUAAAUUCUCACUUUUCAUUUUUGUAUUUGAAGUUGAACCCAAUGUGUCUUUCCUAGUCAUUGCAGUAGUCCCGUUGAAUAAGAUCUUCCAUGCCAUCUUAAGGGUCAGCAGAACCUUUUCUUUAACAGUAGGCAUAUCUAGGCAAGUCAUCAAUCUUAGGAUGGCAUAACUUAUAUAUCCCCAAGCAUAUGGAAGGUAUGUGAGUAACUUAGCAUUUCUGUUCCCUUUACCCUCUUGUAUUUUUUAUUUUAAUUUACUUUACAUUCUGCUAUAAAAAAAACAAGGAUUCUGAAAUCUCUAAUAAAACACAUUAUCUAGAUUAUGAAGGACUAAAUGAAGAUGCUGGGUGGCUGGGAGACUGGGCCCCAUACCUCCAGGAUCACUCCUAACCAGUGCAUCUUAUAUAUAUAAGUUACAGCAGGCGGGUUCCUACAAUGAGCAGACCCAAAAAUGCAUGGUAGCUUAAACACAAAAAAGUAACAUAACAGAAUUAUGUAAGUGAAUAAAUUACUGAAUGAUCAACAUCUACACAAAGACCCUGCAAUCUUCCCCAUUUACCUUCUAAGUUCACCCUAUAAUCAUCUAAAGAAUAUGGAGAAGAGGUUCAUGGAAAGUCCUGCUGGAUCCAGUUUGGAAGUAACUCACUUCCCUUCUGCUUUCAUUCAUUACCAAAACUUGCUGGUGUGGAUGCUUCUGACAGCAAGGCAGGCUGGAAAAUGUAGUCUCUACCUGCAGCAAUUUCCUAAUAUGGGAAGCAUAAUAUAGGCAAGUCCUCCUGGCCUCUAGACUCAGUAUUAACUUAUUGAUUAAAGCUUGAGAUUUCUGCAACAACACAAACUCUCUUAUUCUAUAAACUAGCCAUGCUGAUUUUAAAAUACAAACAUGCCUAAAGACAGAAAUAAUGAUAGGAAAGUCAUCCUCAUUAUGGUGCAAGUAGCUUAUUGUAGCUACAUAUUGUGAUGUGGUACGGUGUUGGGAGACCAUUGUUCAUGGGUCUCUUGGGUUUCCUAUUGUACCUACAGGUUGUGAUGUGGUAUGGUGUCUCCUGGGUUUCUUAUUGUACCUACAAGUUGCGAUGUGCUACGGUGUUGGGAGACCAUUGUUCGUGGUCUCUUGGGUUUCUUAUUGUACCUACAAGUUGUGAUGUGAUAUGGUGUUGUGAGACCAUUGUUCAUGGGUCUCUUGGGUUUCUUAUUGUAGCUAUAAGUUACGAUGUGGUACAGUGUUGGGAGACCAUUGUUCAUGGGCCUCUUGGGUUUCCUAUUGUACCUACAGGUUGUGAUGUGGUACAGUGUUGGGAGACCAUUGUUCAUGGGCCUCUUGGGUUUCCUAUUGUACCUACAGGUUGUGAUGUGGUACAGUGGAGCCCAUUGUCCAUGGGUCUCUUGGGUUUCUGCCUGUCCUGUGAGCAGAGGCACAGGUUACCUUUGCUUUGGACAAUCUUCUCAAGGAAGUUUGUAGAGUGAACAACUUGGGUGACAAUGAUCAUGUCUCCUUCAGAGAAAAGGACCAAUCCACUUGCAGCCUGGGAAUAUGGAUCCUGCCUCCCCCUAGAGGAUCAUGCCAUAAAAGAUCUGGGACCCAUCAUCUUUGGUUUCCACCCUUGUGAUGUAGCCCAGUGUGUAUGCAAGUAUCACUUGGCUCUUUGUGCUGCCUUGUGGGAACUGAGUUUUGGGAACCAGCAUAAUAGAAAUGAUAUCUAGACAACUGUAAUUGCUGUGAUAAUAAAUUGUCCUUUACCUGCAACCUGGGAACCUCACAUCCUCUACCAGAAACCAUGAAAUGGCAUCAGGCUAACCAAGUUAGUGUACAAGUGGGGCAAAGUCUCAGCUCCUUCACAGAUCUUGACAAGAAUUAAUGUCAUAUAAUUAAAAAAAAAAACAGAGGAGGUAUGUGCUUUCAUCUUCACCUAGAGCCAGACUUGUCAUGCACCAUCUGUAGAAUAAAGGUACCGAUGCCUCAAGUCUUGUUUAAGACCCUAGAUCCAUAAGCUCAUAGAAGCAAAAGAUGUUGCAAGCAUGUUUCUUGCUAUAUAUUCUUGCUUUGGAGGCAGCUAAUUGUAGAAUACUCAUUUAGACAAAUUCUAUUAUUUUCAUCUUUAUAUUCCUUUAUUAUACUGUUUAUGUGUAUUAGCUAUACAUAUUAGUCCAGAUGAUUCUUUAGAAGUUAAUGACACUGUCCUAACCAUGAUGCAUCUUAAUAGGCAUAUUUAAGAAUAUAUAAAAAUACAUAAGACCCCCUCACUCCAGAAAGAAG
RNAcentral lists this long non-coding RNA (6568 nucleotides) under Homo sapiens (human). RNAcentral's name for it is "non-protein coding lnc-KLF6-5:12". The record is from RNAcentral. Lineage: Eukaryota; Metazoa; Chordata; Mammalia; Primates; Hominidae.